GUGUUACUCUUCACCCUGAUUGGACGAUGCGUGGGGUUCAGAAAAAUCUAAUUUAUUGAGGUAAGGUUAGCUGCAGGAUCGCAAAACUACAGUGACUGAGGCUCUGAAUCGAAGCAGAGAUGCAAGUAUAUUUAGGCUGUACUUUUCCCAAAAUAUAAUUUCUCACUUACAGACAUUCUAUGCAAUGCGCCUGACGUGAUAAUUAAACGUGCCAACGAUGGUUAUUGUAGCCCACCUGACCCAUCUACAACGAAUUCAUGCCAGGAAAAUAAGGUCACAUUUUUCCGGUUUGGUUCAGCUUGAGUUUUGGUUUAGGCUAUAUCCCAAUGAGGUCAAGGCAAUGACCUCCACUGGCCAGCCGGAGACAACAGUUGGAGACAAGCCGCAGGCGAGAGUUUUAGCAUGCCCGGAGGUUCCUCCUCUCGUGCUGCCUCACUAUACUGACAAAGGGUCAGCCUUCGACCCUCCCCAUUGCUCCUACCACAGCCUGGGCCACUGUCUGCGCACCAACAUCUUUCCAGGUCAGUGUUGCAAAGUGAAUUAUCAGCACAUAUACAGUCAAGGAUUACUGUUCCUCUGUCUAAUGCUCAUGUUCUUUUCCUGUCCAUGUUUCUAUUCUAUUCUUCCCAGGAGCUCCUCCGGUGUGGAAGUCCCUGAUAUAAGACUCCUACAUCGGUCACCCCUUGCCCGCCCCUCCUACAGACACCCAGCGUUGGUACGGCCUCAGGACUGAUGCCAUUGGUGGGUGACCUGCUGCUAAUGCCACUUAUUGCUAUAUCAGCACUACCAAACCCUGUUUUCAUUCGUCCUCGUUUAAUUUGUUCUUUCAUAGUGAAAUGGACAGAAAGAAACAUUGUGAACCAGAAGUUGAACAAGGCGCUAAAGGCAAUGGAGAACAAGUGGUCUAAAUGAGGCCAGGGUGCAAGUGGCCAUUUCACACCCUCACCGCAGCGCUCAUGCACCCUCUACAUUAUGCACAUCUCUUUUUACACAUAUAUCUACAUGCAAGCCUUUACAAACCCUUUCUGGUACGUUCAGUCUCACAUUCACACACAAUUGUGCGUCACGUUAC
Molecule: long non-coding RNA, 1072 nt
Filed under: Oncorhynchus kisutch (coho salmon)
Lineage: Eukaryota; Metazoa; Chordata; Actinopteri; Salmoniformes; Salmonidae
Description: lncRNA (ENSOKIG00005037878.1)
Source: RNAcentral